AUACGGAGGAUCCGAGCGUUAUCCGGAUUUAUUGGGUUUAAAGGGAGCGUAGGUGGAUUGUUAAGUCAGUUGUGAAAGUUUGCGGCUCAACCGUAAAAUUGCAGUUGAAACUGGCAGUCUUGAGUACAGUAGAGGUGGGCGGAAUUCGUGGUGUAGCGGUGAAAUGCUUAGAUAUCACGAAGAACUCCGAUUGCGAAGGCAGCUCACUAGACUGUUACUGACACUGAUGCUCGAAAGUGUGGGUAUCAAACAGGAUUAGAUACCCUGGUAGUCCACACAGUAAACGAUGAAUACUCGCUGUUUGCGAUAUACAGUAAGCGGCCAAGCGAAAGCAUUAAGUAUUCCACCUGGGGAGUACGCCGGCAACGGUGAAACUCAAAUGAAUUGACGGG
This 392-nucleotide ribosomal RNA is filed under the name uncultured bacterium. RNAcentral's name for it is "partial 16S ribosomal RNA". It matches the Rfam family "Bacterial small subunit ribosomal RNA", at positions 523 to 917 of the family's 1533-position model. The record is from RNAcentral.